GCAGUUGAUAAUGCACUGGACAAGACCGAAGAUCUCGAAAAAAAGGUGGACCGACUAAUGAGACAGGUGGAGGAGCUGUCAGUCCGUCAAAGAUUUUGUUUGGGGCGAUUUGCUGCUUCCGACGAUGAUAUAAGGUUCUACACUAGGUUCAUGACUUACAGGCAUUUAAUGAGUUUCUGGAAACUCAUUGAACCUGCAUCCCACAAAAUGAUUCGUGUCACCAGAGCAAGAGCAACUACAAUGAGGAGUGAAGCUGAAACAAGAGACAGUACAUGGGGUCAGUCCCUGCAGCCCAUUGAUGAGUUCUUCCUCUUC
Long non-coding RNA from Etheostoma spectabile (orangethroat darter), 315 nucleotides. RefSeq lists it as uncharacterized. The transcript is spliced from 3 exons. The record is from RefSeq and is a predicted model, not a curated record. NCBI's taxonomy places the organism in Eukaryota, Metazoa, Chordata, Actinopteri, Perciformes, Percidae.